This 88-nucleotide microRNA precursor is filed under the name Oryza brachyantha (malo sina). Its description in RNAcentral is "MIR2275 microRNA precursor family". It matches the Rfam family "MIR2275 microRNA precursor family". The record is from Rfam by way of RNAcentral. Lineage: Eukaryota; Viridiplantae; Streptophyta; Magnoliopsida; Poales; Poaceae.
AGGCUGGAUGUGAGAGCUGGAUGGUACCAAAUCUAACAUCCUGUUAUUGUACAAGAUUUGGUUCCCUCCAGUAUCUCAUCUUCAACUG